CGGGGACUGAGAUACGGCCCAGACUCCUACGGGAGGCAGCAGUGGGGAAUAUUGCACAAUGGGCGCAAGCCUGAUGCAGCGACGCCGCGUGAGGGAUGGAGGCCUUCGGGUUGUAAACCUCUUUUAUCGGGGAGCAAGCGAGAGUGAGUUUACCCGUUGAAUAAGCACCGGCUAACUACGUGCCAGCAGCCGCGGUAAUACGUAGGGUGCAAGCGUUAUCCGGAAUUAUUGGGCGUAAAGGGCUCGUAGGCGGUUCGUCGCGUCCGGUGUGAAAGUCCAUCGCUUAACGGUGGAUCCGCGCCGGGUACGGGCGGGCUUGAGUGCGGUAGGGGAGACUGGAAUUCCCGGUGUAACGGUGGAAUGUGUAGAUAUCGGGAAGAACACCAAUGGCGAAGGCAGGUCUCUGGGCCGUUACUGACGCUGAGGAGCGAAAGCGUGGGGAGCGAACAGGAUUAGAUACCCUGGUAGUCCACGCCGUAAACGGUGGAUGCUGGAUGUGGGGCCCGUUCCACGGGUUCCGUGUCGGAGCUAACGCGUUAAGCAUCCCGCCUGGGGAGUACGGCCGCAAGGCUAAAACUCAAAGAAAUUGACGGGGGCCCGCACAAGCGGCGGAGCAUGCGGAUUAAUUCGAUGCAACGCGAAGAACCUUACCUGGGCUUGACAUGUUCCCGACGGUCGUAGAGAUACGGCUUCCCUUCGGGGCGGGUUCACAGGUGGUGCAUGGUCGUCGUCAGCUCGUGUCGUGAGAUGUUGGGUUAAGUCCCGCAACGAGCGCAACCCUCGCCCCGUGUUGCCAGCGGAUUAUGCCGGGAACUCACGGGGGACCGCCGGGGUUAACUCGGAGGAAGGUGGGGAUGACGUCAGAUCAUCAUGCCCCCUUACGUCCAGGGCUUCACGCAUGCUACAAUGGCCGGUACAACGGGAUGCGACGCGGCGACGCGGAGCGGAUCCCUGAAAACCGGUCUCAGUUCGGAUCGCAGUCUGCAACUCGACUGCGUGAAGGCGGAGUCGCUAGUAAUCGCGAAUCAGCAACGUCGCGGUGAAUGCGUUCCCGGGCCUUGUACACACCGCCCGUCAAGUCAUGAAAGUGGGCAGCACCCGAAGCCGGUGGCCUAACCCCUUGUGGGAUGGAGCCGUCUAAGGUGAGGCUCGUGAUUGGGACUAAGUCGUAACAAGGUAGCCGUACCGGAAGGUGCGGCUG
This 1201-nucleotide ribosomal RNA is filed under the name metagenome. Its description in RNAcentral is "bacterial SSU rRNA". It matches the Rfam family "Bacterial small subunit ribosomal RNA", at positions 313 to 1520 of the family's 1533-position model. The record is from RNAcentral.